GCGGGUGUGGUGUAUGGUACAGGGCUGCCCUUCCUGGUCGGGAAAGAUUAAAAGUUGUAGCAGCAGAACCGGGUUCGAUUCCCGGCAUCCGCA
Mycena alexandri is the source of this 93-nucleotide non-coding RNA. The record is from the annotation of a GenBank genome assembly. Lineage: Eukaryota; Fungi; Basidiomycota; Agaricomycetes; Agaricales; Mycenaceae.